Molecule: ribosomal RNA, 253 nt
Filed under: uncultured bacterium
Lineage: Bacteria
Description: partial 16S ribosomal RNA
Rfam family: Bacterial small subunit ribosomal RNA
Source: RNAcentral
UACAGAGGUCUCAAGCGUUGUUCGGAUUCAUUGGGCGUAAAGGGUGCGUAGGCGGUGAUGUAAGUCAGGUGUGAAAUCUCGGGGCUCAACCCCGAAACUGCACUUGAUACUGCAUUGCUUGAGGACUGGAGAGGAGACUGGAAUUUAUGGUGUAGCAGUGAAAUGCGUAGAUAUCAUAAGGAAGGCCAGUGGCGAAGGCGGGUCUCUGGACAGUUCCUGACGCUGAGGCACGAAGGCCAGGGGAGCAAACGGG